AGACCUUUGCGAAAGUACGUCAUUAUGAACAAGGGAUGGGGCUUGGUGCAUCCUCCUGUUUAGCAGUUAAGCCUUUUUCAGCAUGCUAGUGGCUGUGGUGUUGCGUGGUGAGCUACCAUGCAUUUUGCUACAUGGUAAAUCUCUCUCGCAGGUGUAACUGCACAUCCAGGGGUUUCCAGUAACUUGGUUGGAGACGAAUGUACAUCAGUGAUGUGACUGCACUGCUGCUUUGUUUGUUGGUUGACCGUUUUAACUUUGUCUGUCUUGGUCUUAUUUUGGUUAACUUGGUUUGUAUGGGUUCUCUUAUUCAUUCAUGAGCAGUCAUUCAUUAACUUGUGUGAGUUCGCAGGGG
Molecule: long non-coding RNA, 352 nt
Organism: Sinocyclocheilus rhinocerous
Lineage: Eukaryota; Metazoa; Chordata; Actinopteri; Cypriniformes; Cyprinidae
Exons: 3
Source: RefSeq, a predicted model, not a curated record